Long non-coding RNA from Alexandromys fortis (reed vole), 2928 nucleotides. RefSeq lists it as uncharacterized. The record is from RefSeq and is a predicted model, not a curated record. NCBI's taxonomy places the organism in Eukaryota, Metazoa, Chordata, Mammalia, Rodentia, Cricetidae. The transcript is spliced from 5 exons.
AUCGUUCUCGCAGCAGAAUGCUUGGAUGAGGGUGAAGUGGAUCUGCAGAGCCACGUCCCUGUCGUCGUCCUCGUCCGCGGCCAGCAGGCACAGUACCACGUUGUCGGGGUCGCUGGGGGCAGAAGGCAGCGACAUGUUAGAGACUCUCCCACAGACUGUCCACUUAAGAAAACCACUGCUCUCCUGAGGCAUUGAGUAUCCAAAUGAUUAGUGUCGCACACUGGAAAAUGUGCUGACAGCCAGGCGAGGCAACCAUCGGCUGUGCUCAGAACCCGGCUGGCUCCGUUUCCAGUCUUCUGCUUUGAUAUUUUUGACCCCAACUCCAUGCCUGAUUGGUGCUAGAUGCCACGGGGGUUGCAAAGCAGCCCAACCCAAGGACCUCCUUCCAAUAGCUGCGGUCAUCACAGAAGUCAGGCCACUGCUGCAGAAGGCACUGCACAAGAGCACAGGCUUCAACUCGCCAGCUCCCACAGAUGUGGCGCUUCUGCAUCCAAUUCUACCACGUGAGAAGGGCAGGCAGAGGAUUAGGAGUUCAAGAUGAGCCUUUACUGCGUCUGGGCUAUGUGUCUCCUGGAGGACAAUGUCUACAGUCCUAUAACUGCCCAUGCACGCCCUUCCUCAGUGGGGUACUUUUACACAUCGUGGGCUAAUCUCACCCCAUUCCCAGCAUGAUGGCUGCAGUUGGUCAUGGAACUGUAUUUCAAAUAUGGAGAAAGGGGCGAGAGCCAAAAAUGCUUUCCCUGUCUGCUCUGUCUUUCCAUUCACAAAGAAACUUCCUGCCGGAGGCAUUGUGAAACACUUAUCCAAAACCCCGACUGGCCAAAGCUAAGUUAUAUGCCAUUCCCUAACAAGAGUUAAGCUAAUCAUUGUAGGUGAAGACUGCUCGUCCAUUUCCCAGCUGCUCAGACCCAAAUAAUCACACGAAACUAUAUCAAUCACAACACUGUUUGGCAAUGGCUCAAGUGUAUGCCUAGCUAGCUCUUAUAUCUCAAAUUAACUCAUUUCCAUCAAUCUGUGUAUCAUCACAAUACUGUGGCUUAUCAGGUAAAGUUCUGGGUGUCUGUCUUCUUCAGCAGAUACGUGUGUCUCUUUGACUCCACCUACUUUCUCUCUCUAUCUCUGUUCAGAUUUCCCGCCUGGCUAUGCUCUGCUAAGCCAUUGGCUGAAACAGCUUUAUUCAUUAACCAAUGGUAAUAAAACAUACUCACAGCAUACAGAGGGGAAUCCCACAUCAAAUCAUAAUUUGCCAUGGCCCUCGUAGACCAUGACCUUCUAUGGUCAAAGAGUCUCUGCUUGCUACCUCAGUCAAACCAGAGAAGGGUGUGAGGAUAGUGGAUGAGGAGACAAUGACCUGUAUCUGCCUCAUGUGCCCAUUCCCAUUGGCCCCUCCUUGACUGUAGCCUUUGAGUAUAAUCCUAAAAUUAACACUGCCCCCCCCAUACACAUAAUGGAUCUGAAUUCUACAAAGACAGCAAAUCAAAAUUCCAAUCAGCACACUUUUAUUCUGAAAAACCUAUUGGUUAUAAUCCAUAAGACUGGUGAAUGAGGGGCUGGAAAGAUGGCUCAUAGGUUAAAGGUACAUUGGACUGCAGUUUUGUUCCCAGCAUCCACAUUUGGUAACUCACAACUGCCUGUAACUCUAGCAUCAGGGCAUCUGGACUUUCCUGACCUCCAAAAGGGCCCACAUGUACGUACACAGAAAUAAACAAUGCACAUAAUAUAACAUAAAUAAAUGCAAAAUAAAUCUUUUUUUUAUUAAAUUUUAACAGAAUCUCACUAUAUAUACACUUGUCUGCCUGACUAGACUAGAACUCUCUAUGUCGUCCAAGCUAGUCUUGAACUCACAGAAUCAACGUGUCUACUAGGACUAACAAUGAUAAAUCACACUUGACUGUAGUAAUAAGUGCGGCGGGCCUUCGUCCCCAGCACCCCGGCCACCUACUAGCUUAUGCCCCAAAAUAACAACACACAAACUGUAUUCAUUGAAGCACUGCUUGGCCCAUUUCUAUCUAGCCUCUUCUAGGCUAAUUCUCGCACCUGGACUAGCCCAUUUCUAAUAACGUGUGUAAGCACACCAAGAUGCGCUUACUGGGAAGAUUCUAGCCUACGUCCAUCCUAGGUUGGAGCUGCCUGGGAGAGCGGAGCCUGGCGUCUCUGCUCUGGAGAGCAGAGCUGUAGCUGUCGAGUCUGAGCUCACUUCCUCUUCCUCCCAGCAUCCUCUUCUGUUUACUCCUCCCACCUAUGUUUUAACCUAUCAGGGCCAAGGAGUUUCUUUAUUGCUUAACCAAUGAAAUCAACAGAUUGAUAUAUGACACUUCCACAUCACUUGACAAGAUAUUUUUUUUAAAAAAUGGUAAAUGAAUGUAUCUUCGUGUAGAAAGAUUGUUUAUAUUAGAUACCUUUUUUUUUUUUUUGUCUCCUCUCCUGAACUAAAAAGUUAACCUACAAAUGUCUGGUCCCUGCUGUUUUUAACAAGAAUACUUCCUUUAAUUGUUGGUUUCUUUGCCAGAGGCCCUGUUUAGUUGAAAGCUCAAUGGCAGAGUUUUGUGUUCCAUCUUAAGCUCUCAGAUGUGGGGGUGGGGCACUACAGUUGCCAUAAACCAUGUGUACUCACUGAGCCCUGGAACUACGGGAUGCAUGAGUUAAACUUUUAAUCUUGUUAAGUUUUAAUUUAUUUAAAUUUUUAUUCAACCUUAACCAUGCUUAUAAUAAUUUGGGUAUGAGAAUCUCAUCUUCAGCCACCCAUACUGUGAAACCUUAAAUGCAGUUCAGUCUACAUGAUGAAGGUUUGUUAAGUCGGCUGAGAUCAUUGUAUGUGUAAAACUAUCAAAUCCUGUGUGGAAAAUAGUUUAAAAAGAUCAAUUUGUAUGUUGGUUAUUUGUUGAAAUGGCAACAUUUCAAGUAUACUUGGUCUAUAAAAUAUAUUAA